AGGAGUGUGUAACAACUCACCUGCCGAAUCAACCAGCCCUGAAAAUGGAUGGCGCUGGAGCGUCCCACUUAUUCCGGACCGCUUGGGCAGUUGUUUUCAAAAAAAGAAGCCAAGCUCAAGCGAGUAGGAGGGCCGCUGUGGUGAGCGUCGAAGCCUGGGACGCGAGUCUGG
RNAcentral lists this ribosomal RNA (171 nucleotides) under Truncatella sp. (in: gastropods). RNAcentral's name for it is "Truncatella sp. (in: Mollusca) partial 28S ribosomal RNA". It matches the Rfam family "Eukaryotic large subunit ribosomal RNA", at positions 1274 to 1426 of the family's 3401-position model. The record is from RNAcentral. Lineage: Eukaryota; Metazoa; Mollusca; Gastropoda; Littorinimorpha; Truncatellidae.